RNAcentral lists this ribosomal RNA (702 nucleotides) under uncultured bacterium. RNAcentral describes it as "bacterial SSU rRNA". It matches the Rfam family "Bacterial small subunit ribosomal RNA", at positions 8 to 705 of the family's 1533-position model. The record is from RNAcentral.
AGAGUUUGAUCCUUGCUCAGAUUGAACGCUGGCGGCAUGCCUUACACAUGCAUGUCGAACGGCAGCACGGAGCUUGCUCUGGUGGCGAGUGGCGAACGGGUGAGUAAUAUAUCGGAACGUACCCUAGAGUGGGGGAUAACGUAGCGAAAGUUACGCUAAUACCGCAUACGAUCUAAGGAUGAAAGUGGGGGAUCGCAAGACCUCAUGCUCGUGGAGCGGCCAAUAUCUGAUUAGCUAGUUGGUAGGGUAAAAGCCUACCAAGGCAUCGAUCAGUAGCUGGUCUGAGAGGACGACCAGCCUCACUGGAACUGAGACACGGUCCAGACUCCUACGGGAGGCAGCAGUGGGGAAUUUUGGACAAUGGGCGAAAGCCUGAUCCAGCAAUGCCGCGUGAGUGAAGAAGGCCUUCGGGUUGUAAAGCUCUUUUGUCAGGGAAGAAACGGUGAGAGCUAAUAUCUCUUGCUAAUGACGGUACCUGAAGAAUAAGCACCGGCUAACUACGUGCCAGCAGCCGCGGUAAUACGUAGGGUGCAAGCGUUAAUCGGAAUUACUGGGCGUAAAGCGUGCGCAGGCGGUUUUGUAAGUCUGAUGUGAAAUCCCCGGGCUCAACCUGGGAAUUGCAUUGGAGACUGCAAGGCUAGAAUCUGGCAGAGGGGGGUAGAAUUCCACGUGUAGCAGUGAAAUGCGUAGAUAUGUGGAGGA